Molecule: ribosomal RNA, 429 nt
Filed under: Actinomycetes bacterium
Lineage: Bacteria; Bacillati; Actinomycetota; Actinomycetes
Description: Actinobacteria bacterium partial 16S ribosomal RNA
Rfam family: Bacterial small subunit ribosomal RNA
Source: RNAcentral
UAGGGAAUCUUCCGCAAUGGGCGAAAGCCUGACGGAGCAACGCCGCGUGAGUGAUGAAGGUCUUCGGAUCGUAAAACUCUGUUAUUAGGGAAGAACAAAUGUGUAAGUAACUAUGCACGUCUUGACGGUAUCUAAUCAGAAAGCCACGGCUAACUACGCGCCAGCAGCCGCGGUAAUAAGUAGGUGGCAAGCGUUCUCUGGAAUUAUUGGGCGUAAAGCGCGCGUAGGCGGUUUUUUAAGUCUGAUGUGAAAGCCCACGGCUCAUCCGUAGAGGGUCAUUGGAAACUGGAAAACUUGAGUGCAGAAGAGGAAAGUGGAAUUCCAUGUGUAGCGGUGAUAUGCACAGAGAUAUGGAUGAACACCAGUAGCGAAGGCAACUUUCUGGUCUGUAACUGACGCUGAUGUGCGAAAGCGUGGGGAUCAAACAGG